AUGAAGCUGGAAUCGCUAGUAAUCGCGGAUCAGAAUGCCGCGGUGAAUACGUUCCCGGGUCUUGUACACACCGCCCGUCACACCAUGGGAGUAGGUAAUGCCCGAAGUCGGUGACCUAACCGGAAGGAAGGAGCCGCCGAAGGCAGGACUUAUAACUGGGGUGAAGUCGUAACAAGGUACC
Molecule: ribosomal RNA, 181 nt
Filed under: uncultured bacterium
Lineage: Bacteria
Description: partial 16S ribosomal RNA
Rfam family: Bacterial small subunit ribosomal RNA
Source: RNAcentral